AUUGAACGCUGGCGGCAUGCCUUACACAUGCAAGUCGAACGGUAACAGGUCUUCGGAUGCUGACGAGUGGCGAACGGGUGAGUAAUACAUCGGAACGUGCCUAGUAGUGGGGGAUAACUACUCGAAAGAGUGGCUAAUACCGCAUGAGAUCUACGGAUGAAAGCAGGGGAUCGCACGACCUUGUGCUACUAGAGCGGCCGAUGGCAGAUUAGGUAGGUGGUGGGAUAAAAGCUUACCAAGCCGACGAUCUGUAGCUGGUCUGAGAGGACGAUCAGCCACACUGGGACUGAGACACGGCCCAGACUCCUACGGGAGGCAGCAGUGGGGAAUUUUGGACAAUGGGCGAAAGCCUGAUCCAGCAAUGCCGCGUGCAGGAUGAAGGCCUUCGGGUUGUAAACUGCUUUUGUACGGAACGAAAAGCCCCGGGUUAAUACCCUGGGGUCAUGACGGUACCGCAAGAAUAAGCACCGGCUAACUACGUGCCAGCAGCCGCCGUAA
This 498-nucleotide ribosomal RNA is filed under the name uncultured bacterium. Its description in RNAcentral is "partial 16S ribosomal RNA". It matches the Rfam family "Bacterial small subunit ribosomal RNA", at positions 30 to 523 of the family's 1533-position model. The record is from RNAcentral.